Photinus pyralis (common eastern firefly) is the source of this 953-nucleotide long non-coding RNA. RefSeq lists it as uncharacterized. The transcript has 2 exons. Lineage: Eukaryota; Metazoa; Arthropoda; Insecta; Coleoptera; Lampyridae. The record is from RefSeq and is a predicted model, not a curated record.
UCCAUAACAUCACAUUUCAGAACAAUAAAUGUGAACUGAAGACAUAAUGAUUAUUACAUUGUGUCGCUCCAUUUAUUAUUACAAACAUUUCUGAAUACUUUCCGUUAAUUGUUAUGAUAAUAUGUUAGGUCAAUGUUCCUAUUGCUAUUAUUGUUGAGAAAAUUGUAACAGACAACGAUAAAGUGAACCACUUUUGUCCUCCAACGGAUAUUUUAACAAUAACAAUCAUGUGUCAUCCAGUUCAAUAACACCGUAGGUAUAGAUAGGUACCACUUACUUACUAAUUAUAGAAAAAAUUACCAAUUACCAUGCAAAACGAAAUUGUUUUGGAAAAUAAAAAGAGAAAUAUGAUGUUUGCCUAGAUACAAUACAUGAAGACAUUCGCCCCAAAUUUAAGUUCAUGAUCAUGGAUGUCACUUGCAUAAGUAUUGUGAAGAAAUCUGUCUAGCAGUGCACAGCACUUUGGAAAGAAGUUGACAGAAGCAUGAGGCGAAGUCAAGUGAUUUUUUCAAAACAAAUAUCAUAAGUGAUAUUGCCAAAAAGCAACAAACUUCAUAUAUAUGUCAAUAAAAUUACAGAAAACUUCUGCAGGUAAAUUUUUUUCUCGAAGAUAUUGCUCACUUAAUUUUAUUUAAUAGAAUAAAGUCAAUACAUAUAAAUAUUACCUAUCUGGCUGUUAUCAACACUUUUCCGCUACGAAACUAGCGCGUUGGUUUUGCACAGGGUAAGGGUUCUGUUUUUUCAUUAAGUACAAAAACAGGCUGUUACUACUCGUAUGUUACUUUGCCAGUAGGUACCUAUAAAACACUCAAGUGCAAUACUUAGUCAUCGAAAUGCGAUUGAUGUGAUAGUUGCUAGUACAUUAUAUCUAGAGCAUUCUUUUAUAUCUGGGUUUUUCUAUAAGAUUUUUAAAUAUGUAUUAUAGUGAGGUAUUGAAUAAACUAUUUAGAUUA